Long non-coding RNA from Fundulus heteroclitus (mummichog), 4080 nucleotides. RefSeq lists it as uncharacterized. The transcript has 4 exons. NCBI's taxonomy places the organism in Eukaryota, Metazoa, Chordata, Actinopteri, Cyprinodontiformes, Fundulidae. The record is from RefSeq and is a predicted model, not a curated record.
UGUCCUUUUUCUUUGUAGUAGUAUAACAAGUUUUCACACCCCUCCGGACAAGUUUAGAAAGCAGAAAGCAGAAAAGUAAACUGUUGUUCUGCUGAAGCAGGAAAUAAGGAAAUGCCUGGACAAUGUUUUGCCAAGCCUGAUGAUGAGGAAAACAAUUAUUGGUUUUAUUCAGUAUAAUGAUUGUGUAAGCAUUUAAGGAAUAACAGAAAGACAGCUGUGAGAGCUACGGGAGCAAAAUGUCCCCCACACACAUCCAUAUAGAAGCACUCUAUAAAAAAGGCUAUGAAUGUUAACUUGGCUGGCAUUUUUAUGAAGACGUAUUUGACUGUAACUUCCCCGUAUUUCCUCUGAGAAAACCUUCUCGUUUCUCCUCACCCCACGACAAAUCAGUGAAAAGCAGUCUGUUCUAGAAAUGCUCAAAGUGGCGAAGCAGGAAGAGCUGGCCCUAUUGAAGCCUGAGGAAAAGAGGCUUUCAUAGACCUUAAACAGAUUUUAAUAGUUGUAACUCUUCUCUGUUGUUGCUUCAUAAACAUGUCAUCCAUCACCAAGACCACUUUCCUGUGGUUCCUAAGCAGUGUGCACAUCUGGUUUGGAAGAUUGCCUUUAGUUUAGUUUUGACUGGGUCACAUUUGAUUCGAAUAAUUUCCAUGAAUUCUCCAGCGAAACCACAUCAACAGCUUUGACUAGUGUAAAAACAACCGUGGACACUCUGCUAACCCGUUCAAUAGAGUCUGUGACAUUACAGUCAUAUUUUGAGUCUAUUUUCUAUUUUCUACUACUGUUCAUGGAAUGACUUUACAAGCAGCUCCUGAACCGAGCUGGAUUUGUCUGUCAUCUUGUGUAACUUUAGGUCCUGCAGGAAGAAGCUUCAUUGCUUCCUAACAUAAUUCUGGAAGUGAAAGUUCUGCAUUUAGAAAGACCUGCAGGUUCAACAUGUUCUAGGUUUCUAAAUUGCGUUUAAAAGCUAUAAUCUUGAACGUCUGCCAUUUUGCUGGCAGAUAACUUUGUUUUUCAGGAGGUAAGUUUUAUUUCUUUCAUUGCAACAAUAGAUUAAUACAACACUGCACAGAUAUUUUGAUUUAUUCUGUAAUUCUUUUUUUUUUUUUAGAUAAUAUUAAUAAGCUGAACGUUUUAGAGAAAAGUAAAGAAAAUAUUGCAGCUUUAACAUUUAUGAAAUCUAACCCUGAAAUUUAUUUAUUUUUGUUCUGAGAAGAAUGCAGGUCCUUCUCAACUUCAACCAGAAGAGGCUGCUGGAACAACUGGUGCAGUUGAAGGCAAGGCCAAUCAACAACCACGCACUAAGAAUGCAGGUCCUUCUCAACUUCAACCAGAAGAGGAAUGUCUACUUAAUUCAAAUGAAUACACUGAGACGAGCACCUGAAGAACUUCAUGCAACUACGAGCAAACUGUUAAACUCUCUGGCUGUGGAUCCUUUUAUGUUCCUGAGCUUAGAAAUCAGCACUUCUUCAUUUCAAGUAUCUGUCUGGGAAAUAUUUUAUUUGAGGCCAUGUACAGAAUGAACUGGUGCUGGGUGCAAUGAAAACAUUACUCCAGUUUAUUUGCCCGUUUCCAGCUUUCUCUCCCCCAGUCAUGUGUGAUUGUGCUCAUGGGCAAGGCACUUAACCCCAAGUUGCUUAACAAUCUGCUUAUCUGUGUUUAUGUCAUGAUUUUUCUUCGAUGAAUCCAGAAUGCACACCACACACACAGAGCUAUUUACUGAGAGUUUAUUGAAAGGAAGAUGAGCAGUGGAUAAUGAAAUCAGAGAGGCAGGACUGGACUGGAACAGGGGUGUAGAUGUGAGCAAGAGCUGACGGACGGCAGAGAGUUCUUGAGAGCAGGGCUGCUGCAGCACAGGGGAGGCAGGAAACCCAGCAGUUAGCAGAGGCUUGACUUGAGGCACAGGGAAGGCAGGAAACCCAGCAGCUAGUGGAGGCUUGACUUGAGGCACAGAUGAAGGCAGGAAAAUCCAACAGCUAGCAGAGGCCUUACUUGAAGCACAGAUGAGGCAGGUAAAUCCAACAGCAGGCAGCGACUUAGCUAGAGACACAGAGGUGGCAGGGUUCCAGCAGUAAGCAGGAGCAAACCAGGUUGACAGACGUGGAGAGAGUAGAGUCUGAUGACAGACCGGCAGGGAAGAGAAGACUGAUGGAGGCUUUUGUAGGGAGGCCAUCAGGUGGAGUGAGUUCUGACCAAUUAAUGUCCAACAGGUGUGACUGACUGCAGAGGGAGUGAAGGGAAAGCUGAGAGAGAGGAGGAACUGAAAAACAACAGGGCAAAAAAGGCAAGACCAAAACUGACAGUUUACAUGUGGCUCUGGUUUAAAGCGUGUUGAGUUGUCACUGGGACUAGAAAAGGUCUAGAUGAAUUAAAUUAUUUUAUUAUUCCAGAGUUUUAACAGGAACUCUAGGAAAACUGCAGCUUGUGAAUUUCUCUCUAAACUUUGCAUCUUUACAUCCCUCAGGUGAUGGUGAUAUAGCUCAUUCUUACAUUAGUAUGUUAUAUAUUUGUUUUCACAGUUUUGUUCAGCAGGAUAUUAAGCCACAAAUACAGCUAGGAUCAAAUAUUUACAUACACUGUAGAACAAAGUAGUACACAAACCCUGAGACUUGUAAAGGAAUGGGCCAAUUAAAACGUACGAGUGAAACGUUUUGUGGAGCCAAAUGUUGACAAUAUUACAUUUUGCCCAGUGGACCCACUUAGAUAUUACACGUAUUUCAGUGAGACUGGGUUGUCUGUCACUAAAUCAAACUAAACUUCCCAUUUUAGAUCAGUUCUGAUUACUGAAGUUAUUUCAACUUGUUAAAUACCAGAAUAAUUAAGAGAUGACUUGUCAAAAUGUUAUUUAUUAAGUCCAGCAGAUUGAGCAGCAUCAUAAUACUUUUUCUUUAAACAAUAUAGGGAACUCCAGAUGAUGAUGUGGUUGUUUUGACGUAACUAGACUCACCUGUGGAGGUGACACCUCCAUGCUUCUGCUUCCUGUUGGGACAUGUGGAGAAAAUAAACAAUCUUGUGAAGAUGUUGGUAGAGAAUCAUGAUCCAUAGAGAAACAAGGCCUAGAUAAACCUGGUAUGAAAUGCCCUCAGUGAGGAAAAAGCCUUUAGUCCAGGAGGAACAGGGGACAGUUUGUAGAAACCCUCUUUUUAGGAGACAUGUCCUCUGGUCUGGUGAAGCUAGUUUGGACAUAAUGACCAUUAAUAACUUUGGAGAAAAACAGAGGAAGUCUGAGAACAACAUCCCAACGGAAUCAUGCGUACAGUAUGUGGAGAUAUUGGCAUCACCACACAUGUUUGUGUCUGGGUGUCUUUUGAUCUCCAGGGUGGAGAACAUUAACAGUGCUGGAAUAACUGGACUUGUGAGAUCCACAUUCAUCUAUCAAUGUUUCUAUAAAGUUAACUUUAGACUGACAUUUUAUGCUGAACCUGAAGCAACAUCUGAAGCAACAUCUCAUCCAGGUAGCUCAGGCUUGAGCUCAGAUUAGUCCUCCAGAGGGACAAUGUCCCUCAGCAAGACACCCAGUUAGUUACCAAGUCACGGAAGGAGGACAAAGUCCAUGUUCUGUAGUUUCCAUCGUCAGGGUGAAUGUAGCGAUCUACAGACCAGACCCAGUUACACGGUUCUGGCAGGAGGAAUGGGCCAAUUUUCUAGCAAACUUAUGAGAAGCUUGUGGAAGGAAACACAAAACAUUAAAACUUUAAAAAAGUAAAAAGAAAAAUUGAUCCGAAUCAAACAGUCUAAAGGGAGGUUUUACCAAAUAAUGAGGAAAAGUUUAAAAAUGUUCUGUCUUAGAAAUAAUCCUGUAAUUCUGACCUAAAACAGGAGGUUUAUUCUGAUUUAAUGUCAGACUGUGAGGAAACAAUGAUUGUGUCUUUUUAUCCUAUCUGUAAAUAUCUGGUUUAACUGGAUAUUCAAGCUUGGAGUUGAUUGUUGCUACUGGAGGGAAUUGCAUCAAUAUGAGCAGCUAUUAUAAAUGCUAUAAAUAUGCAGCAAUUGCUUUUAUUCAGGCUUUAUGCUAACCCUACAUGGGCAUUUUGUAUCAUCUUUUUAUGACUUUCUUUGUUUAAUGCUUAAAGGAAAAUAAAG